GAUGAAGAACGUAGCGAAAUGCGAUAAGUAAUGUGAAUUCAGAAUUCCGUGAAUCAUCGAAUCUUUGAACGCACAUUGCGCCCCCUGGUAUUCCGGGGGGCAUGCCUGUCCGAGCGUCAUUGCAACCUUCAAGCGCGGCUUGUGUGUUGGGUCUCGUCCCCCGUGGACGGGCCCGAAAGGCAGUGGCGGCGUCCCGACAUGGUGCCCGAGCGUAUGGGAAUCCUCUUCCGCUCGAAUCGGCCCAUGCGGCGCUGGUCGUAACCAAAUUUUUUACCGGUUGACCUCGGAUCAGGUAGGGAUACCCGCUGAACUUAAGCAUAUCAAUAAGCGGAGGA
RNAcentral lists this unclassified non-coding RNA (335 nucleotides) under soil metagenome. RNAcentral's name for it is "partial contains 5.8S ribosomal RNA, internal transcribed spacer 2, and large subunit ribosomal RNA". The stretch from base 1 to 119 matches the Rfam family "5.8S ribosomal RNA", at positions 35 to 154 of the family's 154-position model. The record is from RNAcentral.